CAUUUUUCUCGCUGCUCAGAAAAUAUCUUGCUUCCACCGACAGCCUCUCCGCGCCGCUCGGCCUCCCAUCCUCGCCGCCUCCGCUCCUCUCCUCCGCGCCGCCUCCCUCUCCUCCUCCCUUCCCUCCCGGUCGCUCCCCGCCCGCCUCUCUCCCCUCCGCCCGCGCCGGCCCCCUCGACCCCGCCGCCCGCGCAUGAGGGAGGGCGCGUAGGGGCUGGAUCUGGCCGGCGACCGCGCCGCGCCGUCUCCCUGCCGUCGGCGCCGCCUCUCCCCGCCACCCUCGCAGGCACGUUGCCCCUCUCUCAUCUCUAGGCUGGAGUUGCAGGGGAGUGGUCCAUGGUGGCUAGGAUUUGAUUGUGAUUUCUUGCGGCUGGUGGUGGUUAGGGUUUGGGAAUUUGGGGGAUUUUUCAAUUCUGGGACGUGGCCCUCUGCGUGCUAGAUCGAUUGGAUUUAGGAAUGCUCUUUCCUUAUUGUUUUUGCCUUGCUAGCAGAUAAAUUUUUUUUACCAUUCCCUUUUGUUUUUCAAGAUUAGCCUAGCAUUGUCUCUUACUGCCCACUGCAGCCGGAGUUGUUGUCUAUUCUCACAGUUUGCAAUUGAAUUCUUCUCUCUAAUUUAGACUAUUGUCUUGCUAUAUUGUUUCCUAUGUAGGUUUUCUCUUUAGCUUGCUCACAAAAAUUGUUUUCUUUGGGUGACAAACAAUUCCUGAAGUGACGUCCUCACGGAAAAGAUCCACUUCGUUUUAGAUGUUGGCUGGAAAAGCUCAGGCUUUUGUCGUCUCCCGCGUAGUGAAUUCAUGUGGCUUGCCUCGUCUGCAGCUUCUUAUUAUAUUUAUUCCGCAUAUAUGUAGGUACAACCAAUAUUGUGGUGCAACUACUAACGUUAUUUGGGUUUGCAGGUAAAGAUACAUUAGAGUUGAUAGAAAACCUGAAACCUCCAACAGGUGCAUCCUUUAACAGCACCCUCUUUAGAAAAAUAACUCUUCAUCCUUAUUCCAUUUGUAAUGUAUUGAACAAUAUAUAUUUGCAGUGCUUUUCUUUCUUUCCAUGGUAAGAUUUAUGGACUGAUAUAACAUGAAUGGCUCUGAAGCAUUACAUUUGUGAUGGAAGAAUUGAAUAAUUGAUGUUCAGUGUCGAGCUACAUGGCAGCCUGAGUGGUUCUCAUUAACUGAAUCUAGAUGUUUUUACCUCUGAUUAUUUUUAUCUCUUUAUGGUAGUGUUCAGUCUUGCCAGUAUUCAGUCACCUUGCACAUGACAUGACAAAUUGAGCUGUUAUGUGAUGGAAGGGUUGGUGAGACUGCACAAUAGUUAGGAGGGCAGCUCCCAGCUUAUGAUGGUAGGGAGAGAUGAAGCAGAGCUGUUUGAUGAUCAUUCUCUUCAAAGGAAUUUCGCAUCGCUCUGCUCUACGAAGGUGAUGAUUCUAGUGUGUAGAGACAUCCAAAAACUUUAAAGGUGCUGAUUAGAUUUGCUGCAACAACUGAUCUUCGCUGUCUUCAUCCAUUUGUAGUUGAAAGGUAGGCAGAGGUGCCUCAAGAGCUUUGCAUGUUCUUGGUAUUGUCUGGCAAAAGUUUCCAACAACAGAUAUCCACCAUUUGGAAGAUCUUUUCUCUCCUGACCUGGGGAGGAGAUGAGCCCUUGGUGAGGGAAUACAAAUCUGGUACAGCUACCCGUUACUGGUCAUCUAUUUUGUUGCCUGUCUAUCGAAUGCUGACAUCUACUCAAGGCCCUUCUCGGAUGUUGAUUGUGAGAAAAGGUUCUCAUUUUUGAGAAAGAAGUUGGUAGUGUAUGGUUUUCCUAGAAAGGUACCCACCAUAGGCUAAACUGGGACAUACUGGAUGAUAAAUCAACAUAUCCUGAUCUUUCUGCUUUGCCUGGCCACAUUCAACUUUUUGCUCAAUUUAUUGGAACUAAAGGAUAAUAGGGCAAAGCAAUAUGCUUCACCAGACCUGAGCACAUACUGAAAGUUUGGUGCCAAAGUUCCAAUGUUCAGAUCUAUAUGGCAAUGGCCAAAUUGAAGCAUGUAUACUGAUGAUUCAGGAAGCUAGGUUGAUCCAUGCAGCCUUAGAUGGAUGAGGCAGAUCAAGGUCACAGUAGCACUGCUCACCCAGAAAUUAUGGUGGUGAUCAAUGAGAGAAGUGCUGAAGGGAAGCAGCGGGUAUAGUCAUUCAAGCAUUAGAUCAAACAUGUAUGUCGUUGCUUCCCAGACCCAUGCAACAACCAUGCAUUGGAUCACAAGAGGCAAAAAAGGGGGUUCAAGAAACGUUUGAGCCUGGCUCAACUUUCGUAUAUCAAGCAUUGUGCGUUGCUGUCGUCCAUUACCUAUAAAAAGAAUAAAUGAAACUUCAUAUAUUAAACAAUGCAAACAAUAUGUACUAUUUCAUAACCUGCUUGUUUUGCUUCAAUGGCUAAAUAGCUUUGUGCUGAUGGUCUCAUACUAAUAUCCUUCCAGCUGAUUUGUGGUUAUUGGCCGUGUUACUUUAUUUAACACAAUUUGUGAAACUAAGAUUCUAUCUUAUUGAUAUUUAUA
Panicum virgatum (switchgrass) is the source of this 2524-nucleotide long non-coding RNA. RefSeq lists it as uncharacterized. Lineage: Eukaryota; Viridiplantae; Streptophyta; Magnoliopsida; Poales; Poaceae. The record is from RefSeq and is a predicted model, not a curated record. The transcript is spliced from 10 exons.